CGCGCUUGGUUGAAAAGC
This 18-nucleotide small RNA is filed under the name Arabidopsis thaliana (thale cress). RNAcentral's name for it is "Ath_wt_04072". Lineage: Eukaryota; Viridiplantae; Streptophyta; Magnoliopsida; Brassicales; Brassicaceae. The record is from RNAcentral.